Molecule: ribosomal RNA, 212 nt
Filed under: uncultured bacterium
Lineage: Bacteria
Description: partial 16S ribosomal RNA
Rfam family: Bacterial small subunit ribosomal RNA
Source: RNAcentral
ACUACUCCUAUCAGAGGGGGAUAACCCGGCGAAAGUCGGACUAAUACCGCAUGAAGCAGGGGCCCCGCAUGGGGAUAUUUGCUAAAGAUUCAUCGCUGAUAGAUAGGCAUGCGUUCCAUUAGGCAGUUGGCGGGGUAACGGCCCACCAAACCGACGAUGGAUAGGGGUUCUGAGAGGAAGGUCCCCCACAUUGGUACUGAGACACGGACCAA